Molecule: ribosomal RNA, 440 nt
Filed under: uncultured bacterium
Lineage: Bacteria
Description: partial 16S ribosomal RNA
Rfam family: Bacterial small subunit ribosomal RNA
Source: RNAcentral
CCUACGGGCGGCAGCAGUGGGGAAUAUUGGACAAUGGACGAGACCCUGAUCCAGCGACGCCGCGUGAGUGAAGAAUUCAUUCGUUAUGUAAAGCUCUAUCAGCAGGGAAGUAAAUUACGGUACCUGAGUAAGAAUCCCCGUCUAACUACGUUCCAGCUGCCGCGGUAAUACGUAGGGGGCAAGCGUUAUCCGGAUUUACUGGGUGUAAAGGGAGCGUAGACGGAAGGGCAAGUCUGGAGUGAAAGGCUGGGGCUCAACCCCCAGACUGCUCUGGAAACUGUACGGCUGGAGUGCAGGAGAGGUAAGUGGAAUUCCUGGUGUAGCGGUGAAAUGCGUAGAUAUUAGGAGGAACACCAGUGGCGAAGGCAGCUUACUGGACUGUAACUGACGUUGAGGCUCGAAAGCGUGGGGAGCAAACAGGAUUAGAUACCCCAGUAGUU